Molecule: ribosomal RNA, 253 nt
Filed under: uncultured bacterium
Lineage: Bacteria
Description: partial 16S ribosomal RNA
Rfam family: Bacterial small subunit ribosomal RNA
Source: RNAcentral
UACGGGGGGGGCAAGCGUUGUUCGGAAUUACUGGGCGUAAAGGGCUCGUAGGCGGCCAACUAAGUCAGACGUGAAAUCCCCAGGCUCAACCUGGGAACUGCGUCUGAUACUGGAUGGCUUGAGUUCGGGAGAGGGAUGCGGAAUUCCAGGUGUAGCGGUGAAAUGCGUAGAUAUCUGGAGGAACACCGGUGGCGAAGGCGGCAUCCUGGACCGAUACUGACGCUGAUGAGCGAAAGCCAGGGGAGCAAACGGG